CGCUGGCGGCAUGCCUAACACAUGCAAGUCGAACGAGACCUUCGGGUCUAGUGGCGCACGGGUGCGUAACGCGUGGGAAUCUGCCCUUCGGUUCGGAAUAACUCAGGGAAACUUGAGCUAAUACCGGAUAAUGACGUAAGUCCAAAGAUUUAUCGCCGAAGGAUGAGCCCGCGUAGGAUUAGCUUGUUGGUGGGGUAAUGGCCCACCAAGGCGACGAUCCUUAGCUGGUCUGAGAGGAUGAUCAGCCACACUGGGACUGAGACACGGCCCAGACUCCUACGGGAGGCAGCAGUGGGAAUAUUGGACAAUGGGCGAAAGCCUGAUCCAGCAAUGCCGCGUGAGUGAUGAAGGCCUUAGGGUUGUAAAGCUCUUUUACCCGGGAUGAUAAUGACAGUACCGGGAGAAUAAGCUCCGGCUAACUCCGUG
Molecule: ribosomal RNA, 426 nt
Filed under: uncultured bacterium
Lineage: Bacteria
Description: bacterial SSU rRNA
Rfam family: Bacterial small subunit ribosomal RNA
Source: RNAcentral